This 525-nucleotide ribosomal RNA is filed under the name uncultured Oidiodendron. RNAcentral's name for it is "eukaryotic LSU rRNA". The stretch from base 181 to 334 matches the Rfam family "5.8S ribosomal RNA". The record is from RNAcentral. Lineage: Eukaryota; Fungi; Ascomycota; Leotiomycetes; Myxotrichaceae.
UCCGUAGGUGAACCUGCGGAGGGAUCAUUACAGAGUUCAUGCCCUCCGGGUAGAUCUCCCACCCAUUGCUAUAACUACUCUCGUUGCUUUGGGGGCCGCCGGCCCCGGCUGGCGCGUGCCCGCCAGAGACCUCACAGACUCUGAAUGUUAGUGUCGUCCGAGUAACUAUACAAUCGUUAAAACUUUCAACAACGGAUCUCUUGGUUCUGGCAUCGAUGAAGAACGCAGCGAAAUGCGAUAAGUAAUGCGAAUUGCAGAAUUCAGUGAGUCAUCGAAUCUUUGAACGCGCAUUGCGCCCUGUGGUAUUCCGCAGGGCAUGCCUGUUCGAGCGUCAUUUCAACCCUCAAGCCUCGCUUGGUGUUGGGCCCUGCCCGCCGCGGCCGGCCCUAAAGAUAGUGGCGGCGCCGCCUGGCCCUCAGCGUAGUACAGCUCUCGCUCCAGGGUCCGGCGGCAGCCUGCCAGAACCCCCCAACUCUGUGGUUGACCUCGGAUCAGGUAGGGAUACCCGCUGAACUUAAGCAUAUC